RNAcentral lists this ribosomal RNA (253 nucleotides) under uncultured bacterium. Its description in RNAcentral is "partial 16S ribosomal RNA". It matches the Rfam family "Bacterial small subunit ribosomal RNA", at positions 524 to 776 of the family's 1533-position model. The record is from RNAcentral.
UACGGAGGGGGCUAGCGUUGUUCGGAAUUACUGGGCGUAAAGCGCACGUAGGCGGACUGGAAAGUCAGGGGUGAAAUCCCGGGGCUCAACCCCGGAACUGCCUUUGAAACUCCCGGUCUUGAGGUCGAGAGAGGUGAGUGGAAUUCCGAGUGUAGAGGUGAAAUUCGUAGAGAUUCGGUGGAACACCAGUGGCGAAGGCGGCUCACUGGCUCGAUACUGACGAUGAGGUGCGAAAGAGUGGGGAGCAAACAGG